UAUCACUACAUGCCAAAAAUGUGUCAUCAGCAAAAAGGUUUAUAAAUUCACAAUUUACAAAAAGCCCAAUAUCAUUCAUAUACAAUAUAAAUAGAAGAGGUCUUAAAACACUUCCUUGAGAAAGUACAGAAUCACAUAUAUCUUCAAAUCCCUCAAUGAACUGUGAAUCUGAGCUUGAUGGAGAAUGAUAUAUGCAGCCAAUAAUCCAGACAAGAGAUCCUAAAUUCACCUUAAUAAAUUUACACCAAAAGUUAUCCUUUAGCUCAAUUUUUUUAAUGUUUGAAAAUGUAUAGUUAUCAUUAAUGUAAAUCAAAACACCACCUGUAUGUCUGCUGUUUGAGUCACACCUAACACAUGUAUACUUUUCAAUAUACAAUUCGCUAUCGUCAAUGUGUGUUGUUGUCCGCGUUUCACUUAGCAAGAUAACUUUUGGAUUAAAAGACGCAAUGCUCUGUCGUAUUUGAUCUAUAGUUUUUAAAAUACUCUGUGCAUUAAGGUAAAUUAUGUCUGAGGAAAAAAGUAUAUUAGAUGUUACUGCGA
Anthonomus grandis grandis is the source of this 540-nucleotide long non-coding RNA. RefSeq lists it as uncharacterized. Lineage: Eukaryota; Metazoa; Arthropoda; Insecta; Coleoptera; Curculionidae. The record is from RefSeq and is a predicted model, not a curated record. The transcript is spliced from 2 exons.